This 120-nucleotide ribosomal RNA is filed under the name Klebsiella aerogenes. RNAcentral also lists the same sequence under 3 other names. Lineage: Bacteria; Pseudomonadati; Pseudomonadota; Gammaproteobacteria; Enterobacterales; Enterobacteriaceae. The record is from RNAcentral.
UGCCUGGCGACGAGAGCGCGGUGGUCCCACCUGACCCCAUGCCGAACUCAGAAGUGAAACGCCGUAGCGCCGAUGGUAGUGUGGGGUCUCCCCAUGUGAGAGUAGGGAAUUGCCAGGCAU